RNAcentral lists this long non-coding RNA (243 nucleotides) under Olea europaea (common olive). Its description in RNAcentral is "long non-coding RNA (OEUR_LNC011944)". The record is from RNAcentral. Lineage: Eukaryota; Viridiplantae; Streptophyta; Magnoliopsida; Lamiales; Oleaceae.
CUCCUGCAGCCUGGAAGAAAACAUUGAAAAAUAUGCAAAAUUAAUUCACUAACUGUGAUGAAAAAUGUAUGAUGAUCAACAAGUUGUUUCCCUGUUGAACUCACCAAGUAAAAAUUACAGGGACAUAAAAAAUGCCCUAAAAUAUAGGAGAGAAGAUCUUACUGUUCACAUUAUAAUUUCUGCUUUAAGGAAUAAAGAACUUGAAUUACAAACUGAGUCUGAAGAUUUUAAAAUUGGAGAAAG